Rosa chinensis is the source of this 255-nucleotide long non-coding RNA. RefSeq lists it as uncharacterized. The record is from RefSeq and is a predicted model, not a curated record. Lineage: Eukaryota; Viridiplantae; Streptophyta; Magnoliopsida; Rosales; Rosaceae. The transcript has 3 exons.
UUUCUUAAGUUGUUUGUAUGGAUUGUUGAGGUCCCCAUUAUUGGUUCUUUGAUAAUCUCAGUGUUGAAGAAGCAGAAUAAGAUGACUCAGUUAUUGAGGAACACUGUGAUUCCAGAAGCACCCAUGUUCAAACCUGAAUUUCCUCCUCAAGAACCAGAAACCGGGGUUGUUGUUGUGGAUGAGGAUGGAAAACCAGAAGACAGAGUUGGAGUGGCCUUGAAAUGUCUUCCAAACUAUGAUCCUGCUACCUGUUUG